UUUAGAUUUUGACAAAGAAAUACAACCUUACGGUUUUGAACUGUAAUUUACAGAGAAGAAUUUCUGUAAAUGAAAUGCUUUUUUUAAUGAAUCCUCCUAUUGCUGCAGAAGAAGUUGGUGAGUAGUACAGGGUGUAGCAAGGGCAAAAAUGCAUCUGUUACCGGCGGUGACAAAACCUUCGUUUGUCAACCCUCACUACAUUUGCUGGGUGCCUGUCUGGUUUCGAGGAAGGUGUUUAACAAUCUUCUUUCACAUCCCUCGGGGACAUCACCCAGACAACUCCUCUGUGUUUCCUCAUGAUGGUCAGUGAUCUUUGGCCUGGUAUUGCAUGGGUUGUAUUCUAGGAUGUCUUGAAGAAACAAGUUACAAAGAAGGCAAUGGUAAGGAUGGUUGACUCAUUUUUCUGUUGAGGUCAGUUGGUCAAAGUUCAUCAUGUCGAGUUUGUGUUGCAUCCUACAACAAUUUCUGAUUUCUAUCAUUUUUCACUGAGAGGACCUCCGCCAGCUAGCAAGUACAUUUUCACAAAUUCUCAAAAAUUGAAUUAUUAUUAAAUUAUAUUUUAUUAACUUUUUUCCACUGGUGAAACAAAGAUACAUAUUUUGGUGGUCAGGCCAUCCCCGGCAUCAAAACAAUAACCGAUGAUCUCACUUUGCAAUUAUUUUGCUAACAAUUGAAGCCAACUUCUGUAACACGGACAGGAAGUGAAGUGACGCUCAGGGAUGGGUGUCGCCUCUUGAGAUAACGUGAAAGAGGAUGUAUGUUCUGAUGACUUUGCUUACAGUGAACCCACACACCCAUUGUGUAGUCCAUUGUAAGCAAUAGGUCUACAGUAGAUCUGUCUGCUGAGUUGGGCAUGUGGUUCUGGAUUGCUUCAGCGCUCAUGCAUAAGAACAGAUGUUUGUUUUCUUGAGUUCCUCCUUGCUGCCGAAGCUUCCUGUAGUAAGGACUUUGGUUGUGAAGCACCGGACAAGAACCAAAGGAAGUCUGACUUUAAUGCCCAGAAAUAACCUGAUAUGUAGUGCUGGGCUGCAUACUUGGCCCUGGGAUCAGCACCUCCUCUGGCCUCUAGCUGUUUUGACUCCAUCUGUUCCUCUAUAAAGCAUCUUUGUGACAGUUCUCUGUACAAAGCACUAUGGGCAAAUGUAUCAAAAGGUGGACAUGGACCAAAAACAUUAUUAUUAUUGUAGAAAAUAUUUGACUGGUGUACUAGCAUCAUAUGACCUAAACGUUACUGGAAAUGAUAGAUUUGAUCCAAGAGGCCUCUCAUAUUUCUCAUGGCUCCCAAAAAUAAAUGCCACUUUAAUGUCUUCACAAACAAUGGAAUUGCCCAUAUAUUUGAAAGGUCCUUAACAACACUCAAACUACCCUUCAGUAUGAAAGUUUUCUUUGAGAUUAGAGUGAACGGAUUGCUUUACCAUAAUUACAUCUGUCAAGAGAACCUUUGAAUUAAUUUUUUCAGUACAUGGCCCCAAAUGUUAGUCUAGUCCACAUGUGAUGUCAGUCACAAAAAACAUCAAUUUAUUUUAUUUUAUAAUUUUAUAAUUCUCUUACUAGAGGUUAUGAGUUAUGAGUUAUGAGUCCAUAACAAACAAAACCCCAGGUCAACUAUUUGUGCUGGUGUUGAAAUAUGUAACGUCAGUCACACAAUCAAAUAGAAUUACUCAAAAUACUACUAAAACAAGGUUGCUCAAAAUUCUCACUCUAAAAACUGUUUUGUAUUUGAGUGGAUACAGAUACUCAUGGCUGUGUCUGGUGGGCUAAGAACCACAGCAAAAAUUCUGGACAAAUCUGAUGAAAAUGUUACCAGAAAUUAGCAUUCUGCAUUGCUUUUUCCAAGCUAUGUCUAGGCAGGUUUCCAAAAAGACUGAAUGAUUUCAUGGGUUGUGUAUGAGGUGUAAAAUACUAUAGAUUGCAUACUAAAUGAUAUACUCAAUUCUCAUGACAUUUGUUUUUCAAAAGCAGGCCUGGGCCUGAUUUAUAAGUCUUCGUAAUAAUAAUAAACCAUUUUGAGAAUGUAUUUAGAUGCUCACCGAUAUAAAAUGGGGUUACGUCCAGGCGUCAAAUGCGUUUUCACUGUCCUCCUCAGAACUAUUCACUGAGAUGAGCAAUUCUUUUGCAAGUCUCAGUGUGCGUAUUGAAAAUGAAAGGAAAAUGAUUGCGGCAGCAAAAAAAUCCACACUGUUUUAUUCAAGCAAACAACAGUUGGAAACAUAGUUUCAUUAGAUAAAAUGCUACCCCCGUUGUCAGUCUAAUACCAUACUCCUAACUGGCUGUACGAUGAGCAGAACUUAUACUUCAGGUGAUCGCUCAUGGAGAGGGACUUUGUCGAUACCAUGAAUGCAAAGAUCCCACUCUGGCUGGUGUGACUUAAGGAUUUAAAGGUCCCAUGAUACUCAUCGCAAAGAGUAGGGGGUUCCUUGGUGUUGUGGCUAACUCCCAUACCUGGCUUUUGCAACCUGAUUUAAUUACCUAAAUUAUUGUUCUCUCCCUCUCCAGCUGAUAUAUGGUAAUAUGUACUAAUAUGUACAAUGUACAACGCAUUGGUGGUGGUUGAGGUGAGUUUCCCCGUCAUUGCUGUAAAGUGCUUUGAGUAUGAGAAAAAUGCAAUAUAAAUGCAAGAAUGUAUUAUUAUUAUUAUUAUUAUUAUUAUUAUUAUUAUUAUUAUUGGUUCCCUUAAACCACUCCAGCUUUGACCCUCUCCUGGUUCAGCUCGUCAACGCGACUCCAAAUGCCACUUGGUGGAAUAAUCGAUGAUGGUGCUGCUUUUCUGGCAUUAUUUGUUUAGCAGGGGCUGAACAAUAAAAGCAACCUCUACCACUUCUCUUCCUAUUACACUGGGCACGGUGCCUUAGAUACCAGUGAACACCGUCUCAGCUUGACAUGGACUCACCCAACACUCUGUGUUUUACUCAGAGGUACAUUUAUUAGCUGUGUGAUUAUUAUUCCUUUGGUCAGCAAACAGACAUUUCUGAAAGGAUAAUGCUAAUUAAAUGCAAUCUCAACUCCUGUUUAACAAUACAGUACAGACAAUUCCUCAUUUUUACUAUCCUUGUAGUUUCCAGUGCAGAGUUAAUGUAAAUGAGAAGCUCCCUUGAUGUAAUGAAACAAGCAGUAUUCCAAGAGAAAAGGCAGGCAGAACUUUGAAUUCCUCUGGUCAGGUCCCGUUUAGGCCAUACCCAGCGGUUGACUUAAAAAAGAAAAGCCUUGUUAGUCAAUUUCUGGCAAAAACUGAAAAUGGCAGUUAUGAAUGGUGACUGAGCGGCCAAUCAGAGCCAUGCAGGAGGGCUGCACUUGUGCUUUACUUUCCAAUGAUAACGUUCUUGAAUCCCUUGAUGUUGCUCAGCUUGUUGCUGCUGAAAUCCACCACCAGCUUCCGCAGUCCCGCACAGGUGGGCGUGAAGCCAAUUUUAACCGUGGCUGUCUCCCUGGGUCCCACUGUUCCAAACCUGUGGACAGAAACAUGGAGCCUUCAGAUCUCUGCACCAUCAGUCCUUUAAAAAAAACAUUUUUAGGGGUGACAUUGUCUCAGGCAGUAAGAGCAGUUGUCUGGCAGACGGAGGGUCGGCGUUUCCAUCCCCCGCCUGGGCUGUGUCGAGGUGUCCCUGAGCCCUAAAUGCUCCUGACGAGCUGGUCGGGGCCUUGCAUGGCAGCCAUUGGUGUGUGAGUGUGUGUAUGAAUGGGUGAAUGAGAAGCAUCAAUUGUACAGUGCUUUGGAUAAAUGCACUAUAUAAAUGCCAGCCACUUACCUUUUAUAUACAGUACCAUUUAUAUACAGUUUGGAUCCAUUUUUUUCUGAGAGUUUACUUUGGAUGCCCCUUGAUUGAUCUUGAUGUCAUGCUUAGUAGGCAAAUUGCGCCAAACACAAGUCACACCCAACGGUUGAGUGAGUACAAUACACAAUGCUGUUUACUGGAAGUUACUAUAAAUAAUACUACUUGAAGCUGCCUGUAAUCAUGCAUUUGCCAAUUCUAAGUAAUUCACAUUUACAUUUCCCCAUGUUUAGUCAGAAGCCAAGCUCCAAGUGACAAAGGAAUGAAAGACGUUUGUGAAAGAGCCACAAAUAUCAUUGACAUUCCCUUUUCAUGAUUCAUUUCUUGCCACAUCUCAUACAAAAAAAGCUGAAGUUAUUUUAUUUUUUUCUCAGGCAUUACAUUCAGGACUUAAAACUGUUCUGGAUUUGAAUAACUCACGUGUUAGCCUCAGCAACCAGUUGGAUAAUGGCUUGUUUUCAGAUUGGAACUGCUGUACUCUUGCUGUUGAUCCAGGUGUCAAAUUUCCAACAAGUGGCAUCUUAAAUGCCAUUAAUAGACACUGAUGCCCUUAACCAAAUGGCAGAUGUAGUGUGUUUGUAGCAACAUCAAGUGAAUUUGUUCUUUAAUCCAAUUAUUUGUAUAUUUUCCCUUAUAUUGAAGUAUUGCAAUAUCUUGAUUAUACAUUCAGUGACCACUUUAUUAGGUAUUUAUUAGACUUCUUUUUUAUCUUUGGCUGCUGUUGCCCAUCCACUGCAAGGUUUGAUGCGUUGUGUGUUCAGAGAUGCUCUUCUGCAUACCACUGAUGUAACAGGACGCCGUCCUGUCAGCUUGAACCAGUCUGACCACCAACUGGCAGCAACAAUCAUUCCACGGUCAAAGUCACUUGGAUCACAUCCCCCUCCCCCAUCCCCAUUCCCCAUUUCCUCAACAAAAACUGAACCCCUUGACCAUGUCAGCAUGCUUUUAUACAUUGAGCUGCUGCUACGUGCUUGGCUGAUUAAAUAUUUGCAUUAACGAGCCGGUGUACAGGCCUACAUAACAUAGUGUUCUCUGAGUGUAUUUUGUUUGCUGUGUUACACUGGGCCUGUUUUAGGCACAGCGUUCCUUGGAGGCGUACGUCUCAGUGAUGGCCUUGCCGUCGGUCAGGUUGGCUCCAUCCAGCGAGAAGGUGCAGUCCUCCAGGGGUUCUGGGAGAGGGUUCUGCAGUGAGAUCUCCGCCGUCAGCUUCCGCUUCACUUUCGGUUCCCCCAGGAUCUAAAACAGAACCACCGGAACGUUUCAUCAACAGCUGAACGCACCAGGUAAAACACACCUCCAUUUCCAAAUGAAUGCAUCCGUUCUGAGCCUUCUCUUUUAUAUCGUGACCUAAAGGCGGGAGUGUGUGUGCAUACAACACCCAUCCAGCCUGUGUGCAUAAAACACCUGUCAACAGAAUACAUAAAGAAUUAGGUAGAAAGAGCUGAUUCAACACGCACAUGCACACACGCACGCACGCACGCACGCGCACGCACACACGCACAAUAGAUUCCACACAGUAGGAGCUCGAAUCGGCGAUGACAUUUCUUGCAGAAGGUUCGUCUGUACAACUCAGUAUGAACUGAGCUCAAGGUAGCUCUACCCUCAGACUUAGUCUGGUUCCCUAACUGUCAGUUUGUCAGUAACACGCUUUUGCAUUGGCCCCAGGUCGUACCCUGAUGGCGAUUUCUGGGUCCUCCAGGACGAUGGUCCGGGUUUUGUUGUACAGCUCCUUGGUGUCAGAGUCGAUGAGAAUGGCCAUCAGGCGGAUCAGGGCAUCUUGGGUAAUCACAGAGCUGUAGUUGCAGUAGCAUAUUUUCAGUGGAAAGCUCUUCUCUGGAAAAAGAUUUUAAAAGUCACACACCUAAAAGGCUAUUCACUGGUGUGUGCAGAAUAUUGAGUCAUGUAUGCGAGCACUGGAGAGUUUAUCUGAUCCCACUAUGGAGAAUGAAACUUUUUUGUGUCAAUGCACCUUUAUGAAUAACAAGAUUCCCAAAAUAAUUUCAUUCUCCAUCGUGGGAUCAGAUAAACUCUCCAGUGCUCUCAUACAUGACUCAAUAUUCUGCACACACAAAUUGAUACUUUCAGACAAUUUUCUAAUAAACUCGUGGGAUUUUUCCCGGGCCUCCAAAAGAUUGCUUCUGUGGCUCUGUUAUUCUCAUAUGCACAACAUAGUCACAUACAGCUAUGGUGUUAUGUCCUGUAUGGACUAGUGUCAAAAUAUGUUGUGCAUAAUCUAGAACUUUCAUGCUUUGAUUUCCAUUUGUUUAAUUACUUGAGCAACAUAUUGUGGUGUACUGUAGGGGUUGGGUGCAAAUUCAAAUAUUUUUUUGCGAACUGAAAAUGAAUCAAAACAAUGUCAUCUCAUAUGUAACUGGGAAGUGAAACAGGGUAUGAAAAUGCAGGAAGCAGCAGUAGAGUGGCAAAUGCCUGCCAAAUGCCAUUAAUUCAGGAAGCUGCAGUAGAGUAACAGGGUGUGAAAAUGCAGGAUCAGCAGUAGAGUAACAGGGUGUGAAAAUGCAGGAAGCAGCAGUAGAGCAGCUCAGAUAAUUCCCACCCACCUUCCCCAGUUGAGACCUGCAGGUCAGGAAUUUCGGUCUGCCCACAGCUGCCCUUGAGUUUCCCGUUGUAGGACACUCCGUGGCCGUUGUACAGGAGGCGGCAUGUCUUUUUGUCGGGAGUGUUGUUGGUGAUGACCGCGAACACGUCAAAAUCGUAGCCUCUCUUCAUGUCCGCGCUCACCUUGAUCUUCAGCUUCAGGCUCGGCUCCAGACCCUUCUCCCGCAGGGCGUUGUGGUGGCCAGCCUUCUCAAACACCUGCCUCUCCUGCUGAGAACCUGAAAAGGGCCGCCGUGGCAUCAGGGACCACUCACACGCUGGGUCAUCUGUCUUCACCACUCACACGCUGGGGCAUCUGUCUUCACCACUCACACGCUGGGGCAUCUGUCUUCACCACUCACACGCUGGGGCAUCUGUCUUCACCACUCACACGCUGGGGCAUCUGUCUUCACCACUCACACGCUGGGGCAUCUGUCUCCACCACUCACACGCUGGGGCAUCUGUCUUCACCACUCACACACUGGGUCAUCUGUCUCCACCACUCAUACGCUGGGGCAUCUGUCUCCACCACUCACACGCUGGGGCAUCUGCCUUUACCACUCACACGCUGGGGCAUCUGCCUUUACCACUCACACGCUGGGUCAUCUGUCUCCACCACUCACACGGUGGGUCAUCUGCCUCAAAAAGCACUGGCUAGAGGCAGCGAGGGUGUUCCUAAGUGGCCUAAUGGCCGAUAUUAUUAUUGUAUAUUGUCACUGAUUAGACAAGCAUUAAGCUAACCCCAAUAGUUCAGGUUUGACCAGGAUAUAGUCCUUGACCUUUGUUUCCAAGAAACCUGGCUAUUCUCACAUUUGUACGUAUAUGCUUUGUGUGCUCAUUAGCAGUUCGACCCUAAUUUUGUUAUUUGAUUUUUAUUCAUGUAGCCACCUGCAGACACCUUUUUGCACCUGCAGACGGAAUGCCUUGGUAUUUAGUUUCGGGAUCCAUGUUAAUACUCCUUUGCAAUGUUUUUGCAUUGUUGGUAAUGGUGUGGUGGCCCGAUCGAGGAUCCGUACACCACUGAAGGAGAGCGGGCUGUGCGACGGCGCCAGGAGCUGGGGAAAGUAAUUCACGGUGAAUAUUUCCCGCGUACGUAUUUAAGGGACCGGCACCUUGGAGAGAGCCGCGCAGGAAAGAAUCAGCACCAAGACGCCUAGGCGGGGGAAGAGGACUUCCGAGGCCGGGACACCACGGAGAGUUAACGGCCCCACAGCGGACACAGAUGGGCGAACCCCGCCGCAUGAAGUCCGCCUUAGUUUGCCGUUUACCUUUUUUUUUGAAAUCCCUAAUUUUGAGCACGGACUAAUUUUCUAGUUUGCCUUUUUUUUCCUUUUUGUGACCAUAUUCCCGUGUUUGAGAAGGGAAUUUUUUUUGUUUGUUCUGGACACUGAAGAAGUGCCCUGAAGGCACGAGCACAGAAAAAAAUAAAAUAAAUAAAUGAUUUUUUUUUCACCAA
Conger conger (European conger) is the source of this 7821-nucleotide long non-coding RNA. RefSeq lists it as uncharacterized. The record is from RefSeq and is a predicted model, not a curated record. NCBI's taxonomy places the organism in Eukaryota, Metazoa, Chordata, Actinopteri, Anguilliformes, Congridae. The transcript is spliced from 2 exons.